ACGGCGAGUGAAGCGGGAAGAGCUCAUGUUGUGAAUCUGGCCCUCGGGCCCGAACUGUACUUUGGAGAGGCGAGGCCAGCCGCUGUCCGCGGCCAAGUCUGAUUGGAAAUGAGCAUCAAGGAGGGUGACAAUCCCGUCCAUGCCGCGGUAUCGACCAGCGCGCGUCCGGCCCGCUUUCGACGAGUCGAGUUGCUUGGGAUUGCAGCUCAAAGAGGGUGGUAAACUCCAUCCAAAGCUAAACACGGGGGGGAGACCGAUAGCGAACAAGUACCGUGAGGGAAAGAUGCAAAGAACUUUGAAAAGAGAGUUAAAGAGUGCCUGAAAUUGCUGGAAGGGAAGCGAAGGAAAGAGGUGUGCGGUUGCCCGGGCGCCAACCCCUACCUGUCCGCAGGUGGGGGUAGGCCGCCCGGCCGCGGUCAGGGGUAGCGCCGGGCUCGGGGGAAGAGCCGUCGGGGAUCGGUAGGCGUGUCGCUUCGGCGGGACGUUGUCAGGCCCCGGUGGUUAUUGCCCUGAGCCCGGCCCCCGUCUGGCGGUCGCGGCUUUUCUUCACCCCGUC
RNAcentral lists this ribosomal RNA (556 nucleotides) under Dictyota nigricans. Its description in RNAcentral is "partial 26S large subunit ribosomal RNA". It matches the Rfam family "Eukaryotic large subunit ribosomal RNA", at positions 86 to 653 of the family's 3401-position model. Lineage: Eukaryota; Phaeophyceae; Dictyotales; Dictyotaceae. The record is from RNAcentral.